GAACUUUCCAGAGAUGGAUUGGUGCCUUCGGGAACUGUGAGACAGGUGCUGCAUGGCUGUCGUCAGCUCGUGUUGUGAAAUGUUGGGUUAAGUCCCGCAACGAGCGCAACCCUUAUCCUUUGUUGCCAGCGAUUAGGUCGGGAACUCAAAGGAGACUGCCAGUGAUAAACUGGAGGAAGGUGGGGAUGACGUCAAGUCAUCAUGGCCCUUACGACCAGGGCUACACACGUGCUACAAUGGCGCAUACAAAGAGAAGCGACCUCGCGAGAGCAAGCGGACCUCAUAAAGUGCGUCGUAGUCCGGAUUGGAGUCUGCAACUCGACUCCAUGAAGUCGGAAUCGCUAGUAAUCGUGGAUCAGAAUGCCACGGUGAAUACGUUCCCGGGCCUUGUACACACCGCCCGUCACACCAUGGGAGUGGGUUGCAAAAGAAGUAGGUAGCUUAACCUUCGGGAGGGCGCUUACCACUUUGUGAUUCAUGACUGGGGUGAAGUCGUAACAAGGUAACCGUAGGGGAACCUGCGGUUGGA
This 529-nucleotide ribosomal RNA is filed under the name Salmonella enterica subsp. enterica serovar Muenchen. RNAcentral describes it as "partial 16S ribosomal RNA". It matches the Rfam family "Bacterial small subunit ribosomal RNA", at positions 993 to 1522 of the family's 1533-position model. Lineage: Bacteria; Pseudomonadati; Pseudomonadota; Gammaproteobacteria; Enterobacterales; Enterobacteriaceae. RNAcentral also lists the same sequence under 14 other names. The record is from RNAcentral.